GUACUACUAAAAUAAAUUACGUGUAUUUUAAGUAGUAGUGGAGGAAACGUUGGGCAGUGGGACCCACCUGGCAGGUGGAUGGUGGGCUGGUGGCGCGAUCCUUUUCCUCCGGUCUAUCUUUGGAUCUCUCUCUUUAAUUCUCAUGUCCAGUGCGAUCCUUCUGAUUAUAAGCCUUCAGCUUUAUUAACGACUAAAAACUAAUUUAUAAAUAUAGCUUAAACUAAUAUAUAUAUAGAUGCAUAUUGUUAGCACCUUAAAAACUAAUGCUGGAAAUAUAAACUACGGAAAAUUUAAAAAUAUGCUCUGCCUUACAUGUUACGUUUUGAUGUAGCACCUGAUUGCUUGCAUGUAUCUAUCAAUCUAUCCCAUCCCAAGUUCUUAUAAACCUGUGCUCUUGUGGGGUUGGCCAUUGCUGGGGCAUGCUUUUCUCUGGAAAAGGGAGAAGGGAUGCAUCAUAUGCACGGUGGUGGUGCCCACACUGCGUCCCACUCACUGGCUGUAAUUUUUUUGUCAUUCUUUUGAGGAAUUUGGCACCGGCCAGCAGCCCAUCACACUAGUGAGUCAUUGUACAUAUCUUAAUUGCAAAAGAUGGCCUCUCCCUAGGCUGGAAAAAGACGACCCUCCAUUUGCUUCACACUGUCACGUAGUUGUAAGCCUUUUGCUUCACACUGUCACGCAGCGUCACAUAUACUAGUGUAGUACUAGUAGCGUGGUCGGCCAGUGAGGCAGUGAGAACGGCGAGAGUAAAAUCCAAGCAUAAGAAUAGCCGAUGCAGCAGUUAUUAUACUACUCCGUAUUUGUGAGUGCACAGCGAUGUAGUUGUAAAUCAUGGGUAGUUACUCCUUGCGCCACUCGUUGUAAAUUUGUGGCCAUGCAUUACUACUGC
Molecule: long non-coding RNA, 886 nt
Filed under: Oryza brachyantha (malo sina)
Lineage: Eukaryota; Viridiplantae; Streptophyta; Magnoliopsida; Poales; Poaceae
Description: long non-coding RNA (OBRA_LNC000548)
Source: RNAcentral